CAGCACUAUCCAUAAGAAUCCAAUGUCUGAUUCCCAUUGCAUUCAGAGUUCUCAGUGCCAUCUUCACUGUAAUGUAUAUUCAGAUAUAUUCUGAAUAAAAGGAAGGGGCAUGUUGGCAAGAAGAUUCUGACUGCAUAUCAGGAUUAGACUCAGGCUCUUUGAACUUUUUGUUUCUGUAUCUUUCAAUUGUGUGGCUUUGGGAAAAUUUACUUGAUCUCUGUGCUUGAAUUUUCUCAUCUGAAAAGUGUUAAUAAGAAUACUAAUGAAAUUUCAGAGAUAAUAAACCUAAAAGGCAUUGGAGUAUGUACUUGUUAAAUAUUAGUUGUUGCUGCUAUCUGGAUCUUAAGAUAUGUGAGUCACAAAAGAGUAAGGAGUGUCCACCUGAGAAGGAUGAAGAAGUGGUAACCUCAGGAAUAAGUUGAAUUCAGUUAUGCCAAAUGGGGAAAAUGAAUAUUGAGGAAUAAAUGAGUUAAUUAUCAUAGAAUUGGGGUUUCUGAUAGCACAAUAAAUGAGUGCUGCUUCAAUAAAGAAGUGAGCAAUAAAAGAAAGCAUGAAUCUAAAAUUUUUACAUAACAGGAUGGUUGUGUUGAAAAGACCAGAUAAUUAGAUUGGCCUAUAAUUUAGAUUAUGGACAAAAUUAUGAAGACGGGAAAGUCAGUUAGCUUAUAUGGCCACUAGAAUGAGUUUAGACCUCUCAAGUGUCAAUUAUGUUCAGAUGAAUUGUACCUUCUCUCAAGUGCUACACUCUCUUGGAUGGGAGAUAACUUUGUCCCCUGGUGAAAGCUUGCAUUGGUUGCUCAGGCACUGGGAAGCUGUUUUUGUUUGGAGUGUGCUUAUAUGCGUCCUGUAGGAGGACAGCUGAAAACCUGGUCUCCACCUGCUAAUCUGGUGGGCAGACGCCACAGUGCAGAGAAACCUGGUAUGCAGAAGAUGAAGACAUAGCACAACGUAAGUCAUGUCCUAUAGAUCUAUAUCACCUGUAAGGCAUAAUAUCCCAGCAUGUGCCUCUGAACUCACAUUCUGAAGGUGCAGCAAACAUGGAUGGGAUCUCUAGAGGAGUGGGCACCCGGAAUAUAUGCUUCUUGACCAUGCAGGCAAGAGUGGAAAAUUGUUAGUAUUUAGAUUUAUGUAUAUGGUAAUAUGAUUUAAACAUGUUUUGUUCACAUAUUUCUAUCUAAUGAAGUUAUCUUCCUGUCCUAAUGAGGUGGGUAACAAUGUGUCUCACUGUCACUGUUUUGGAGAUUUUGCUGAACUUGGUGAACUUGCUCUACUCUGGCCUGGACAGAAAAGAAAAGAAAAGCUUACACUUCUUGGUUUCCUUGUUCUGCCUUCCUAUUGUGAUGGGAAAAGACAACAUAGAGUAGAAAUUAACAAAGGAAUCUCUGGAGUGAGGCAUUCUGAAAUUUUACUGAAGCUCUAAAACUUAACAGCUAUGGAAAUGGGAAAGAGCCGAGGUCAGAAUGAGAAACACAUCCCCACAGGAUUUCUGACCAUCAGUAACAUGAAUUAGCUGGUGUGCACUCUGCUCUGUAACCCUGGAAUCUCCUUUCUACUCGGAGGGAACCAGAUGUACAGCAUGAAGAAGUAUGCCCUUUGGAAAUGUAAAUGAAUACAGUUAAGAGGCUACACCGCCCUUUAAAGGAGUUCUUCUGAUCUCUUAGGAGCUUUACAUUUUGAAGAACAUGGAUGGAUGAGAAACUUGAUGUGGAUUAGAGAAGGACUCCUUCUGUCACCCAGGCUGAGGUGCAAUGGCCUGAUCACAGUUCACUGCAGCCUUGAAUUCUUAGACUCAAGCUACUCAUCCACCUCAGCCUCCCAAGUAGCUGGGACUACAGGCUCACACCACCUCACCUGGGGUCUGGCUCUGUUGCCCGGUCUGGAGUGUGAUGGCAAAAUCAUGGUUCACUGCAACCACUACCUCUCAGGCUCAAGGGGUCCUCCCACCUCAGCCUUCCUAGUAGCUGGGACCACAGGUGUAUGCCACCACACCCAGGAAUGGUGAUGGUAUUCUUUUAUCCACUUUGAGAGAAACUUUGAGAAUGUGAACAGCCACAAAUUUAGAAGUUUCUUUUUUUGCUUUGCUAUAUACAUGGACAAUAAUCCUGUACCUUGCCUGUGAUCUUCCAGAACACAGAUUGGGUUUGUUAUCAGUUAUAUUGAUGGGUUGUCCUCAGAUGGUUGAAGACUGAGGCUGCAGGGAUGAUUGAAAUCUGUAGGCGGAAGAGACAACUGCAAUUCCUGGAGGUGUUAGAACUCUGCAGUGUUUUGGAGGUCUGGUGCUGCCAUUUAUAUUUCUCUUCCCUGGAACUCUUUCUUCAUAACAGAUUUUGAACUAAAAAUAAAGAAAAUCUCCCA
This 2355-nucleotide long non-coding RNA is filed under the name Homo sapiens (human). RNAcentral's name for it is "PREDICTED lncRNA (TCONS_00205393)". The record is from RNAcentral. Lineage: Eukaryota; Metazoa; Chordata; Mammalia; Primates; Hominidae.